RNAcentral lists this ribosomal RNA (625 nucleotides) under Vibrio vulnificus. Its description in RNAcentral is "partial 23S ribosomal RNA". It matches the Rfam family "Bacterial large subunit ribosomal RNA", at positions 1 to 673 of the family's 2925-position model. The record is from RNAcentral. Lineage: Bacteria; Pseudomonadati; Pseudomonadota; Gammaproteobacteria; Vibrionales; Vibrionaceae.
GUUGUAUGGUUAAGUGACUAAGCGUACACGGUGGAUGCCUUGGCAGUCAGAGGCGAUGAAGGACGUAGUAACUUGCGAUAAGCGUAGAUGAGGCAGUAACAGCCACUUGAGUCUACGAUUUCCGAAUGGGGAAACCCACUGGCAUAAGCCAGUAUCAUUGAGUGAAUACAUAGCUCAAUGAAGCGAACCGGGAGAACUGAAACAUCUAAGUACCCCGAGGAAAAGAAAUCAACCGAGAUUCCGAAAGUAGCGGCGAGCGAAAUUGGAUUAGCCCUUAAGCUUUACAUGUGUUAGACGAACGGUCUGGAAAGUCCGACGAUACAGGGUGAUAGUCCCGUAGUUGACGAUGCAUGUUCAGUGAAAUCGAGUAGGGCGGGACACGUGUUAUCCUGUCUGAAUAUGGGGGGACCAUCCUCCAAGGCUAAAUACUCCUGACUGACCGAUAGUGAACCAGUACCGUGAGGGAAAGGCGAAAAGAACCCCUGUGAGGGGAGUGAAAUAGAACCUGAAACCGUGUACGUACAAGCAGUAGGAGCACCUUCGUGGUGUGACUGCGUACCUUUUGUAUAAUGGGUCAGCGACUUAUAUUCAGUGGCAAGGUUAACCAUCUAGGGGAGCCGUAGGG